RNAcentral lists this ribosomal RNA (435 nucleotides) under uncultured bacterium. Its description in RNAcentral is "partial 16S ribosomal RNA". It matches the Rfam family "Bacterial small subunit ribosomal RNA", at positions 29 to 507 of the family's 1533-position model. The record is from RNAcentral.
AGCGAACGCUGGCGGCAGGCUUAACACAUGCAAGUCGAGCGGGCACUUUCGGGUGUCAGCGGCGGACGGGUGCUUAACGCGUGGGAACGUGCCCUCUGGUUCGGAAUAACUCAGGGAAACUUGAGCUAAUACCGGAUACGCCCUUUUGGGGAAAGGCUUGCUGCCGGAGGAUCGGCCCGCGUCUGAUUAGCUAGUUGGUGAGGUAACGGCUCACCAAGGCGACGAUCAGUAGCUGGUCUGAGAGGAUGAUCAGCCACAAUGGGAAUGAGACACGGCCCAGACUCCUACGGGAGGCAGCAGUGGGGAAUAUUGGACAAUGGGCGCAAGCCUGAUCCAGCCAUGCCGCGUGAGUGAUGAAGGCCUUAGGGUUGUAAAGCUCUUUUAUCCGGGACGAUAAUGACGGUACCGGAGGAAUAAGCCCCGGCUAACUUCGUG